This 292-nucleotide ribosomal RNA is filed under the name uncultured Acidobacteriota bacterium. RNAcentral's name for it is "uncultured Acidobacteria bacterium partial 16S ribosomal RNA". The record is from RNAcentral. Lineage: Bacteria; Pseudomonadati; Acidobacteriota.
GGACUACCGGGGUAUCUAAUCCUGUUUGCUCCCCUAGCUUUCGUCCCUCAGCGUCAGUUGCGAUCCAGCAAGCCGCUUUCGCCUCGGAUGUUCCUGCGGAUAUCUACGCAUUUCACCGCUACACCCGCAAUUCCACUUGCCUCUCUCGCACUCGAGCACGGUAGUUUUGGAAGCAGCCUCUGAGUUAAGCCCAGAGAUUUCACUCCCAACUUACCGCACCGCCUACGGACCCUUUACGCCCAGUAAUUCCGAGCAACGCUGGCCCCCUACGUCUUACCGCGGCUGCUGGCAC